Molecule: ribosomal RNA, 450 nt
Filed under: uncultured bacterium
Lineage: Bacteria
Description: partial 16S ribosomal RNA
Rfam family: Bacterial small subunit ribosomal RNA
Source: RNAcentral
GUGGGGAAUAUUGGACAAUGGGCGAAAGCCUGAUCCAGCCAUGCCGCGUGUGUGAAGAAGGUCUUCGGAUUGUAAAGCACUUUAAGUUGGGAGGAAGGGCAGUAAGUUAAUACCUUGCUGUUUUGACGUUACCGACAGAAUAAGCACCGGCUAACUUCGUGCCAGCAGCCGCGGUAAUACGAAGGGUGCAAGCGUUAAUCGGAAUUACUGGGCGUAAAGCGCGCGUAGGUGGUUUUGUAAGUUGGAGGGGAAAUCCCCGGGCUCAACCUGGGAACUGCCUCCAAAACUGCAUGACUAGAGUACGGUAGAGGGUAGUGGAAUUUCCUGUGUAGCGGUGAAAUGCGUAGAUAUAGGAAGGAACACCAGUGGCGAAGGCGACUACCUGGACUGAUACUGACACUGAGGUGCGAAAGCGUGGGGAGCAAACAGGAUUAGAUACCCGGGUAGUCC